GACGAACGCUGGCGGCGUGCUUAACACAUGCAAGUCGAACGGAAAGGCCCUGCUUUUGUGGGGUGCUCGAGUGGCGAACGGGUGAGUAACACGUGAGUAACCUGCCCUUGACUUUGGGAUAACUUCAGGAAACUGGGGCUAAUACCGGAUAGGAGCUCCUGCUGCAUGGUGGGGGUUGGAAAGUUUCGGCUGUUGGGGAUGGACUCGCGGCUUAUCAGCUUGUUGGUGGGGUAGUGGCUUACCAAGGCUUUGACGGGUAGCCGGCCUGAGAGGGUGACCGGCGCCAUGGGGAGUGAGAUAAGGGACAGAGUCAGAUGGUAGGCAGCAGCGGGGGAGUGUGCACAAGGGGCGGAAGCCUGAUGAACCAAUGCCGCGUGCGGGAUGAGGGCAGUGGGGUGGGAAAAAGAUGUAGCCGGUGAAGAAGCGGGAGUGACGGUAAGGGGUAGAGAAGCACCGGAUAAGUACGUG
This 468-nucleotide ribosomal RNA is filed under the name uncultured bacterium. RNAcentral's name for it is "partial 16S ribosomal RNA". It matches the Rfam family "Bacterial small subunit ribosomal RNA", at positions 28 to 507 of the family's 1533-position model. The record is from RNAcentral.